RNA transcript from Zea mays, 2547 nucleotides. It is a transcript of the gene named transcription factor pseudogene, with no coding region annotated. Lineage: Eukaryota; Viridiplantae; Streptophyta; Magnoliopsida; Poales; Poaceae. The transcript is spliced from 3 exons. The record is from RefSeq and is marked validated.
CCCACACUCCCGAGGGGAAAAAGAAAGCGAGAAAGCUUCGAGCUUUGCCUCCCCCGUCCCCCCACCCCCACCCCCAAGGGUAAAAUGUGAUGUUGCCAUCCAUCCGAAUCCGAGAAUCCGAUUGCUUCUAGUUUGUCUCCCCAACUCCUCGCCUCGCCUCUCCUCCUGGUUAUGGGCGCCGGCGAGUUGGAUGGACGCGCCUUGUCGGACGCGGAGCAGCAGUAGCGGCGGGCAACCAGGCGGGGGAUCUGGAUCCGAGGCACCACCACCGGGCUCCUCACGGCGGCGACGCAGGCGGCGGCGGAGAAGGAGGAGGAGGCGGAGGAGCGCAGCAAGAAGCAGAUGAGCAGCAGCGGCACCACAACAACCGGCUGCUGCAGUUCCACCAGCAAGUGCAGCAGAACCAAGACCCGCCGCCGGUCCCCCUCUUUCAGCUCCAGCACCUGCAGGCCGCGGCGGCCGUGAGGCAGCGGGGCGGCUUGUCGGCCGAGUAUGCCCUUCUCGACCCCAUGGGCGACGCCGGCCAGUCCCACUCCCACCGCCACCACCACGGCUUCCAGCCGCAGCUCCUGUCCUUCGGAGGAGUCGGCCAGCACCACAUGCACCAGUUCACGGCGCAGGCGCCCGCGGCGUCUCACUCCUCGCGGCCGCGGAUAGGAGGGGUGGGCGCGGGCGGCGAGGCCGCGGCCGCCACGUCCGCGUCGCACUCGCGCGCGAGGGGCGGCGCCGGGGAGAUCGUGGCCGUGCAGGGAGGGCACAUUGUGCGCUCCACGGGGCGCAAGGACCGCCACAGCAAGGUGUGCACGGCGCGCGGGCCGCGGGACCGGCGCGUGCGCCUCUCUGCGCACACCGCCAUCCAGUUCUACGACGUGCAGGACCGGCUGGGCUACGACCGCCCCAGCAAGGCCGUCGACUGGCUCAUCAAGAACGCCAAGGACGCCAUCGACAAGCUCGAGACGCUGCCCGCGUGGCAGCCCACGGCCAAUGCCGCCGCGCCGCCGUCCUCCUCGACGCACCCCGACUCCGCCGAGAACUCCGACGACCAGGCGCAGGCCAUCACCGUCGCCGCGCACGCUCCGUUCGACUUCUCCGGCGCCGGUGGAGCAAGCGGCGGCGCCGCGGGCUUCCUCCCGGCGUCGCUCGACUCGGACUCCAUCGCGGACACGAUCAAGUCGUUCUUUCCCAUGGCUGGCACGGGUGGCGGCGGCGAGGCGUCGUCGUCCACGGCGGCGGCGCAGUCGUCGGCCAUGGGCUUCCAAAGCUACACGCCCGACCUCCUGUCGCGCACCGGCAGCCACAGCCAGGAGCUCCGGCUGUCGCUGCAGUCUCUCCCAGACCCCAUGUUCCACCAGCAGCAGGACCGGUCGGAAGCCCACGGCGGCAAUGGCUCGGCGCAGCAGGCGCUCUUCUCCGGCGCCGCCAGCUACUCGUUUGGCGGCGGCGCCAUGUGGGGCGAGCAGGCGCAGAGCCAGCGCAUGGUGCCGUGGACCGUGCCCGACCCAGGCGGCGGGAGCGCUGGCGGCUACCUGUUCAACGUGUCGCAGCAGGCGGCGCACAUGCAGGCGGCGUUUGGCGGCCAGAGCCAGUUCUUCUUCCAGAGGGGACCCCUUCAGUCCAGUAACCAGCCCUCCGAGCGAGGAUGGCCGGAGAGCGUCGAAGCCGACAACCCGAUGCAGCACGGCGGGCUCAGCCCCGCUGUGUCGGCCAUCGGGUUCUCGCCCGGCGUCGGCUUCUCCGGGAUCCGCAUCCCCACCAGGAUGCAGGGCGACGAGGAGCACAACGGCGGCGGCAAUGGCGACAAGCCGCCGCCGCCGUCCGUGUCCUCGGCUUCUCACCACUGACGACGGCAGAGCAGUGGAGCGCAGAUUACUCCGCGCGCCCACCAUGCCACCAACCACCAUCACGAGCAUUUCAGCAGCAUACCAUGCAUGAAUUCAGCAAACACAUAUCACCGUCAGCUAGCUCCUCAACAUGCACCGCCGUAGUUACUUUGCUGCUGCUUCCUACGACAACGGAUGGCUGCAGCAAAAUGGAGGAGCAAGGUUGGGAGCGAAGCACUCUUUUUGACUGGCUGGUUGGUUGGCCGGUCGGUCGGUCGGUCGGUUUCUCUACCAUCUCUCGCUGCUUUGUGUACGUCACUGGUUUUUGCUCCAAGAACUCACUCACUCACUCGGAGCUUCUCUUGUUAGAAAUUAGGCCUGUGAGAACGCAGCACAUUGGCUAGCCAGCAGGUUCUUUCUUCACUAGAUCUCUUGCUGCUUGUCCGUUUGCUGCGUUGUUACAGUAGGUUUAGUUGAUGUUCUAGUUGCUGUAGUAGUUCUCAAGCUUUUGCAUCUUAAUUUUGCUGUUGUUCUCGCUGGCGCUCUGCACGGAUCGAUGGGGGUUAAGCUAGUGUGCUUCCUCCUGGGGUUCAGGGAGCAGCUAUAAGCGGCAGCGCAGCGCCAGCCAGCGGAUGAUGUUGUUGUUGUUGUUAGCCUGAUAAUUAAGCGGAUGGGGACAGGAGUCUUUGGUUCUUUUUAAAAUAAUCUCUCUGAUGUGAUUGGCGUU